GGAUCGUUAGCUCAGUUGGUAGAGCAGACGACUCUUAAUCGUCCGGUCCUUGGUUCGAGCCCAAGACGAUCCACCA
Molecule: transfer RNA, 76 nt
Filed under: Sphingobium sp. WTD-1
Lineage: Bacteria; Pseudomonadati; Pseudomonadota; Alphaproteobacteria; Sphingomonadales; Sphingobiaceae
Description: tRNA-Lys
Rfam family: tRNA
About the family: Transfer RNA (tRNA) molecules are approximately 80 nucleotides in length.
Source: RNAcentral